CCUACGGGGGGCAGCAGUGAGGAAUAUUGGUCAAUGGACGAGAGUCUGAACCAGCCAAGUAGCGUGAAGGAUGACUGCCCUAUGGGUUGUAAACUUCUUUUAUAUGGGAAUAAAAUGUUCCACGUGUGGGAUUUUGUAUGUACCAUAUGAAUAAGGAUCGGCUAACUCCGUGCCAGCAGCCGCGGUAAUACGGAGGAUCCGAGCGUUAUCCGGAUUUAUUGGGUUUAAAGGGAGCGUAGGUGGAUUGUUAAGUCAGUUGUGAAAGUUUGCGGCUCAACCGUAAAAUUGCAGUUGAAACUGGCAGUCUUGAGUACAGUAGAGGUGGGCGGAAUUCGUGGUGUAGCGGUGAAAUGCUUAGAUAUCACGAAGAACUCCGAUUGCGAAGGCAGUUCACUGGACUGCAACUGACACUGAGGCUCGAAAGUGUGGGUAUCAAACAGGAUUAGAUACCCUAGUGUC
Molecule: ribosomal RNA, 459 nt
Filed under: uncultured bacterium
Lineage: Bacteria
Description: partial 16S ribosomal RNA
Rfam family: Bacterial small subunit ribosomal RNA
Source: RNAcentral